This 1216-nucleotide ribosomal RNA is filed under the name uncultured bacterium. Its description in RNAcentral is "bacterial SSU rRNA". It matches the Rfam family "Bacterial small subunit ribosomal RNA", at positions 62 to 1159 of the family's 1533-position model. The record is from RNAcentral.
GCUGGCGUAUAGAGUUGAUCUGGCUCAGUAAGUCGUAACAAGGUGCCGUAAUAGAGUUUGAUCUGGCUCAGUAAGUCGUAACAAGGUGCCGUAAUAAAGUUUGUUCUUGGCUCAGAAAGUCGAAACAGGGUGCGGCAAAAAAGUUUUUUUGGGGCUCCUUAGGACCUCACACGGUCCGAUAAAACUAUGUCGGAUUACCUAGUUGGUGGGGUAAAGGCCUACCAAGGCGACGAUCCGUAACUGGUCUGAGAGGAUGAUCAGUCACACUGGAACUGAGACACGGUCCAGACUCCUACGGGAGGCAGCAGUGGGGAAUAUUGGACAAUGGGCGAAAGCCUGAUCCAGCCAUGCCGCGUGUGUGAAGAAGGUCUUCGGAUUGUAAAGCACUUUAAGUUGGGAGGAAGGGCAGUAAGUUAAUACCUUGCUGUUUUGACGUUACCAACAGAAUAAGCACCGGCUAACUUCGUGCCAGCAGCCGCGGUAAUACGAAGGGUGCAAGCGUUAAUCGGAAUUACUGGGCGUAAAGCGCGCGUAGGUGGUUCAGCAAGUUGGAUGUGAAAAUCCCCGGGCUCAACCUGGGAACUGCAUCCAAAACUACUGAGCUAGAGUACGGGUAGAGGGGUGUGUGGAAUUUCCUGUGUAGCGGUGAAAAUGCGUAGAUAAUAGGGAAGGAACACCAGUGGCGAAGGCGACCACCUGGACUGAUACUGACACUGAGGUGGCGAAAGGCGUGGGGGAGCAAACAGGAUGAGAUACCCUGGUAGUCCACGCCGUAACCAUGUCGACUAGCCGUUGGGAUCCUUGAGAUCUUAGUGGCGCAGCUAACGCGAUAAGUCGACCCGCCCUGGGGAGUUCGGCCGCAAGGUUAAACCUCAAAUGAAUUUGACGGGGGGCCCGCACAAGCCGGUGGAGCCAUGUGGUUUAUUUUCGAAGCAACGCGAAGAACCUUUACCCUGGGCCUUAGAUAUGCUGAGAAACUUUUCCAAAGAAUGGAUUGGGUGCCUUUCGGGAAAUCUAAAACACAGGGUCCUGCAAGGGCUUGUCCUCAGCUCGUGGUCGUGGAGAAUAGUUGGGGUUAAGUCCCGUAAAACAGAGCGCAACCCCCUUUGUCCUUUAGAUUACACACGCACCUUUCGCGGUGGGCACACUCUAAGGACAUCUCGUGCCGUUGGAUAAUAACUCGGAGAAAGAAGGUUGGGGCAGUAUUGUAGUAGAC